UAGGGAAUCUUCGGCAAUGGAGGCAACCCUGACCGAGCAACGCCGCGUGAGUGAAGAAGGUUUUCGGAUCGUAAAGCUCUGUUGUAAGAGAAGAACGUGUGUGAGAGUGGAAAGUUCACACAGUGACGGUAACUUACCAGAAAGGGACGGCUAACUACGUGCCAG
Molecule: ribosomal RNA, 165 nt
Filed under: uncultured bacterium
Lineage: Bacteria
Description: partial 16S rRNA
Rfam family: Bacterial small subunit ribosomal RNA
Source: RNAcentral